RNAcentral lists this ribosomal RNA (439 nucleotides) under uncultured bacterium. RNAcentral describes it as "partial 16S ribosomal RNA". It matches the Rfam family "Bacterial small subunit ribosomal RNA", at positions 339 to 795 of the family's 1533-position model. The record is from RNAcentral.
CUACGGGAGGCAGCAGUGAGGAAUAUUGCACAAUGGAGGAAACUCUGAUGCAGCAACGCCGCGUGGAGGAUGACGCAUUUCGGUGUGUAAACUCCUUUUAUAUGUCAAGAAAAUGACGGUAGCAUAUGAAUAAGCACCGGCUAACUCCGUGCCAGCAGGCCGCGGUAAUACGGAGGGUGCAAGCGUUACUCGGAAUCACUGGGCGUAAAGGACGCGUAGGCGGGAUAUCAAGUCAGGUGUGAAAUCCUACAGCUUAACUGUAGAACUGCACUUGAAACUGGUAACCUAGAGUAUGGGAGGGGGAGAUGGAAUUAGUGGUGUAGGGGUAAAAUCCGUAGAUAUCACUAGGAAUACCUAAAGCGAAGGCGAUCUCCUGGAACAUAACUGACGCUAAGGCGUGAAAGCGUGGGGAGCAAACAGGAUUAGAUACCCUUGAGUC